This 68-nucleotide transfer RNA is filed under the name Thunnus alalunga (albacore). Its description in RNAcentral is "tRNA-Tyr". It matches the Rfam family "tRNA". Rfam says of the family: Transfer RNA (tRNA) molecules are approximately 80 nucleotides in length. The record is from RNAcentral. Lineage: Eukaryota; Metazoa; Chordata; Actinopteri; Scombriformes; Scombridae.
GGUAGGAUGGCUUAGUUAAGCGGUGGAUUGUAGCCCCAUAUGCAGAGGUUUGAGCCCUCUUCUUAUCA